CGAGACUCCAUGUCAUGUUCUAAGUCAUAGAGUCUGUAUUAGGAUAUUAAAAAUGUAAUUUUGUUUUUGUUGGAUCGAUCACGCAGAAGGUUGUUGUUUGGUGAUUGCGAUAACCUUCUUAUUUUUGUCUUUGGAUAAGCAUUGUAAAUUCUUUUUGUAUUUUGUCACGAAAUCGCCAAAGGGGGAGAUUGUUAAGGAUUUUAUAAGUUGGCGGAUUUCGUGAAGGGUUUGGAUAGAGUCUCGAAGAAUUAGAAGAUGAUGAUUGACGAAAAGAAUUGAAGUUUUGUGAUCAAAGACCCUUGAGAACUCAGGUAUGAUUAGAACCAAUUUAUGGUGAAAUUUUCAUUAUUAAAAGAUGUUUAGAAGACUUGUUUUUCUUUUCACUUAUUCAAAAGUUUUCUGGAAAAAUCAGGGGUCGGGGACCGGUCCUUGAUCAGAGGGACCGGACCCAUCAAGCUUCUCUGCGUAGAAGUUUUGGGAGACCGGUCUCUGGUCUUGAGGACCGGUCCCCGUAAGUGGUUUUCCUUGUUGCGCAGGGAGGGACCGGUCUCUAAAUUGAGGACCGGUUCCCGUACGCAUAUUUUGACAUCUACGCAGCGUAAGACCGGACCUCACCUUGGAGGACCGGUCCCCCAAGGACCGGUCUCCUCGAGAGGACCGGACCCUGAGACCGUCGUCUGUUUUUAAAAUUGAGUUUUUGGAAUCCUAGUCUAUCUAGAAGUCUUCUAAACCUAUAAAUAUGAUAUGAGGAUCUCCAUAUGACGUGAGUUGAGCAAGAUAAUCUUUUAGAAACCCUAACGGCUUGAUUUGAGUUUUUGAUCCAUGUUUCUCAAGAUCAAGUUUUAGAUCACCG
Molecule: long non-coding RNA, 853 nt
Filed under: Ananas comosus (pineapple)
Lineage: Eukaryota; Viridiplantae; Streptophyta; Magnoliopsida; Poales; Bromeliaceae
Description: long non-coding RNA (ACOM_LNC034093)
Source: RNAcentral